Molecule: ribosomal RNA, 280 nt
Filed under: uncultured bacterium
Lineage: Bacteria
Description: partial 16S ribosomal RNA
Rfam family: Bacterial small subunit ribosomal RNA
Source: RNAcentral
UGCCAGCAGCCGCGGUAAUACGGAGGGUGCAAGCGUUAUCCGGAAUCAUUGGGUUUAAAGGGUCCGCAGGCGGCUCAAUUAAGUCAGAGGUGAAAUCCCGCAGCUUAACUGUGGAACUGCCUUUGAUACUGGUUGACUUGAGUUAUACGGAAGUAGAUAGAAUAUGUAGUGUAGCGGUGAAAUGCAUAGAUAUUACAUAGAAUACCGAUUGCGAAGGCAGUCUACUACGUAUAUACUGACGCUAAUGGACGAACGCGAGGCGAGCGAACAGGAUCGCAUA